This 479-nucleotide long non-coding RNA is filed under the name Salvia miltiorrhiza (redroot sage). RNAcentral's name for it is "long non-coding RNA (SMIL_LNC011022)". Lineage: Eukaryota; Viridiplantae; Streptophyta; Magnoliopsida; Lamiales; Lamiaceae. The record is from RNAcentral.
GGGAGAUAUGAAUGAUGAAUUGUACAAUGCCGUAAAUUUCUCGUUGGAUUAAUUAUGUUAGAUUCAUGCAUUAAUGAACUAGAAGUUCAACAAGUUAUUAUUGACUGCCACAUGAGUGAAAUCUUAUACAUAUGUCAUAUUGCACCACAAAUAAUUGAAGUCCCUGAAGGACGAAAUUGAUUUAAUGCUUAUUGACGCCAGAAGCGUAAACGACCUAUUGGUGCCCAAGAUAAAAUAUCCGCGGAUUACAAAAUCAAAUAAAGAACUCAAAUAAUUCCGAAACCUCAUGAAGAGGAUCGUCCUGAAGACGAUAAUCCCAAUACAUUUUGCACGUGCACUAAAUUAUCGUAAUAUUGGGAUUACGAAACAACUAGACCAAAUAUUAUGGAAAAUGGUGAAAAUUUGGUUUUACUAAAGUUGCCAUGAACUUUGUGAAUACGUGAGAAUCGUAUAAUAGAAAAAAUUAUAGUUGUCGACAA